GCAUUCUUUCUGUUUGAGAGUCACAAAAGUAUAGUCUGAGAAAGGAAUGGGUCCCAUUUUUUUUAGUUUUUGUCACAUUUCAGAAUCAAGCGACCCUUUUUAAUUAAUCCUUAGUACUGCUUUUAUACGCCAUUUCUAAAUGCUUUAACUGCUUGUAUUUGGGAACCGAUUUUGUUUUGGCAAGGGUUGAAACGAGUUCUUGUUAUCUAUCAACUAAGUUUUUUUUGCCACAUAUUAUUUUUAAGGUCAUUAAUAAAAGUUGUACUUAUCUAACAGAUGUGGAAAGAUUAAAAGAGAAUACAAAUCACGAUGAUAGCAGCAGGGACAGUUAUUCCUCUGAUAGACACUUAACUCAGUACCAUGAUCAUCAUAAAGACCGACAUCAGGGAGAUUCUUACAAAAAAAGUGAUUCCAGGAAAAGACCCUAUUCUUCUUUUAGUAAUGGUAAAGACCAUCGUGAUUGGGAUCACUACAAGCAAGACAGCAGAUAUUACAGCGACAGAGAGAAACACAGAAAACUGGAUGAUCACAGGAGUAGAGAUCACAGGUCAAAUUUGGAAGGAAGUUUAAAAGAUAGAUCUCAUUCUGAUCAUCGUUCUCACUCAGAUCAUCGGUUACAUUCAGACCACCGGUCAAGUUCUGAAUAUACGCACCAUAAAUCUUCCAGGGAUUAUAGGUAUCACUCAGACUGGCAAAUGGACCACAGAGCUUCCAGCAGUGGCCCUAGGUCACCACUAGAUCAGAGAUCUUAUGGCUCCAGAUCUCCAUUUGAACAUUCAGUUGAA
Molecule: small RNA, 785 nt
Filed under: Pongo abelii (Sumatran orangutan)
Lineage: Eukaryota; Metazoa; Chordata; Mammalia; Primates; Hominidae
Description: retained intron
Source: RNAcentral